AGAAAUGAUCUCUUAUAGAUUAACAUUCCGUGUUUCUGUCGUAAUAUCGUAAGUUUAAUGGGAAUAGCAUUGGAGGAGAUAGAUCGAACAACGACGUGAAAGUAUGCAAAUCUCGAUAAAUAAAUAAAUAAAUAAAUUGGCAACCUUGCAACGUCAUACUUGGGGACUCGAGAGAUUUUUUAAUAUCUCCCCUUUCACAGAUAUUUUUAACAAUUGCGAAUUUUAAAACGAUCUUCCCUUUCGAGAUGUUUCAGCAAAAAUACUUGGUAUUAUGAACGUUUACCCUGGGAAAUUUCGAGGAAGCCAGUGUGUUUCGAUAAAAUCAGACGUGUGCGGAUAAAAUAGAAAUAGAUCGGAAGCGAGUAAGUGAAUCGAUACGGGGAAUCAGCAAUUGGCGAUGAAUACGCGAGUUCCAGCGAGUCGGUAUCCAUCGUCUGGACGGAAGAUUAUUACGGUACAAUGGCAUGAUAGAUUUAAGGCUGGCUAGGAUUAAACGAGCGUUGAUUCGAACACAUUCUACAGCAUGUGAGCAAUAUAAAGAGGCAUUGCAGGAUUGGCCGCACAAGCGUUACGUGUUCUUGAUGCAACGCACGUCGGAAAAUGGAGCGUGGCUAUUUAACGUCGAUAGUCAAACGUUCGCGUAAUUGUACUUUGCAAGUGACGACUAAGCGCGAUCACGUACGAAUAGAUAGAAUGAUUUCAUUCGUGUAACUCGUUUUAUUGUCUUAAGGAUGUUUCGUGACACGAGGAGGAUAUUAUUUAUGAAAUUUGAACGGUAGAAAAUAAUUCUUGCACAGACAUCGUAGAUGUUCGAGCUAAAAAACAAAGUAAAUCUCUGUUUCAAGCUUUCUUUUCUUUUGCAAAAGAAAUUCUUCUCGUCUAAAUGAUAUUAAUUAAUCGUUGAAAUUUAUUAAAUGUUUAAACGGUGUCAACAGUUUUGAUUAAGACGGGGAAAUCGUUGACGUUUCAACGAACAAACUUUUCCGUGGCGCGAAAGGAUCUAAAAAUGUCAGGAACUCGAUACUUUAAGAUCGGGUCAGGAAGAGAUCGGAUUGCCGAAAGCAAUCUCGUGACUCAAGAAUGCCGGGAUCCCAAAGAAUUUCGAGAACUCGAACGAUCCUCCAAGACUAGCUUUAUUGAAUACCGCUAUGGUUUCGGAUUCUCGAUCUUUCAGACGUUUUAAGAAUCCUGCAUAAUAAAAUUCUCAACAAGUUCAACGUUCUCGAGUCACGAGCUGUCCCCCCCCUGCUGGAAUUCGACUCGAUUCCAGCAGAAAUUUUCGAUUUGACUUAAUUCGAAAUCUCUGCAUUCCCGCCCACCUCUGUUCCAAUCAACGAUUUUGCAAAAUUUUUUCAAUCGAACGGAAAAAUGAUGAGAAAAUUUGAUAUCAGAUGGAAUCACGAUGAAAAAUCUCGACUUCCUUAAGAUUGACGCACGAUUCGAUAGCGGAGCGACUCGCGGCAGAAACGAGAUUAGCGCGAAGCGGAAAAACGUGAGCGAAGCUCACCGCUGUUGCUGGGAAACGAAAAAAACCGAUAAGCCGACAGUUUCACUCGAUUAAGGGGAAAAAUCAAUUUUAUCACGACUCGGCCGUUUCAUUUCCAUUUUGAACAAAAUGUUGUUCGAGCUUUUAACAGGAUUCGCCUCUCGAAAAAAAAAAAAGAAAAAAAAAACGCGUGGAUAUAGAAUUUGUGAAACACCUUUUCUAGGAAUAAAAGAUGUUCGUUCGAAGAUGGAUGAUUAAAAUCGAUGGAGGAUUACUGGAGGGGAAAGAAAGACGAGAAUUCGUGCGAAACGAUCAUCGAGCAGCGAGCGACGAAAUGGGUUUUCUAUUCUUAAUCGCGAUUUUCACGAGAAAUGUAUUGCGACUCGAAUUUAAAAAUAGUUCCUUGCUUUCGAGCAUAUAUCAAGUUAGAAAACUGAUCGUGAACUUCGCGUUACUGCUAGUAAACGUAGGUACGUAUGGUUUCUUUUGAAAUGGAAUUAUAUAGCGAGAUUUUACGAUGUCGAUAUGUAUCUUCGAGGAAAUAUUACAUCCAAAUAUAUUCCAUCCUUCAAAAUAUGCUCCUUCGACAUUUUUGAUCUUUUGAAUAUCAAAAGUCCGUUACUUUCCUAUAAUUAUAGCUAUACAUGAUAUUUGUUGAAUUUUCCAUUAAUUUCUUUUUUUCUUUUUUUUUCAACGCCCUAAUGUUGACGAUUCUGAACUUUCGCAAUUUUGAUACGAUCAUUUUACGUGUAAAUAACUAUAGGAUGUUCAGUCAUUUAACUAACUAACUUGGCCUGAUGUAAUCGUACAAUUACAUUGACUCGAUUCGCAUAAAUGAUGGGAAUCUAACGGGUCAGGCGUCAUUUUCGAACGACACUCUGGUGCGAGAGUUCAUAAUUACGUCACCAGUAUAAUUUCAUACCUGGAGUCAACUCGUAAACUCGACGACCACCGAACCAUCGAACCAAUCAACCAUCGCGUUGCAUACUCCGCGCGAGAACAUUCGAAAUGUACUUCUAUUAGCGUUCCAUCCGGACAAAAUUAAAUUCCGAAUUUGAGAUUAUCGUUUGAGCAAUUCUGCAACAUCUUUCCACGACUCUAAAAAUCCGAUUUUGUUGCGACGAAAUUUUACUUCCCCUCUCCUAUCGAUCGGAUACGCUCUGUCAUGAUUAUUUUUUCAGAGCGAAAUAACCAGCUGAUCCACUCCUUAUCGGUAAUCCCGUUUCUAUAUUGAAUGUGUUCAAGACACAAGAUAAGAUUGUACGCGCAAAGGCACGAGAAUUAACAGAAUCGAAUUAACAGACUGAUCUGAGAUCGGUAAUCCUCACAGUCUGUAAUUAUAUUUCGCAGAAGUGAACUCUGUUCGCAUGUACGACUCUUUUGAUUAUUUCCACGGAUCAAACCAAUGGAUCGUACGACACACUUUUCGAUCCAUUAUUUCCUAGAAUUAAGAAACGCGGCCAUGCGAAAAGAAAUCAAGAAUCGUUAAAAUCGCAAUUUUCUCCAUAAUUUAAUACAAUCACAUGCUCGACGCUGUCGACAAUUACAACUGAUCCUUCGAGCUGUUUAAUUUGGCAAAGCGUCACGUGGCCGAAUCGAGAGAAAGAACGUGGUGGUUUCGAGAGAGAGAGAGAGAGAGAGAAAAUUGCGAAAACCGGUGCACCGGUUUCAAUUUUUUCCCCCUCUCCCCCGAAGGACAAGUUUUCCGCCUGUUUGACGCCGCCACUCCGCACAGAGACGAUCACGACGAUCACUUUGUGCACGUGCACGGAACGAGGGCGCACAGAGAGGUAAUGGACGACCCAGCGUGGUAAAUUGCACAAUUUAUUAGUUAUUAUGAGGAACAUGCAUGCGUAUUUGCAUGUAUCGUUUAUGAGUCGGGCGAUCGUAAAGGGUGGGACGUGGCCGUUUAAACUGCAAACAUCGGAACUUUCCGAACGUUGUAGGGGCAGACGGUAGCUAACUUGGUUAAAAGUUUGAUAUACGAGUUUAAAAAUUGUCGGGACUUGUUGUUGUUAGUUUGUCGCAAAAUAAAAUCGUGUUUUUUUUUUCUUGAAUAAGUUUAAUAAUUCGAAGAUUGAUAAAGUACAUUUGCUAAAUUAAUAAUAUUCGAGAUGUUUACAGACUCUCGCGAAAAGAGUUUUUGAGAAUUGCCUUUUUUUUAAUUUAACGUAAGGAAAACUUUGAUCGCUUCUUUCGUAAGUAAAAAUACGAGGUCUACAAACUUUUAGAGAGAUACCAACUAAAAUUAAAUCUCUUAUUCAAUAAUGCAACGUGAACGGGUCUUCGUUAUUCCGACAAAGAAAAAACGGUAAAACGAUAGCACGAACGAGUAUAUAAUUGAAUGAAAAAUGGGCUUGUACUAGUCUGACUCUCAGAUACAGAAUUAUGCACUCCGAUAUAAUCGUAUUAUCGUAUUUCUAACGAGAAAAUAUUCGAGCCGGUUGCAAUUAUUUAAAAAAACUCUUUUGAAAAAUAUCGAAGGAGAUAUUUAACGCAUAAUAUUUACAACAGGUGCAUUUUUUUUUUAUUCCUGUCCUUGCGUUUCGUGGAAAUUUGAAAUUGACGAGCAAAAGGCGGGAGAAGUACGGAUCGAUAAUGCGCCGAUUGAUCUGCAGUAAUUAAAUAUCUAAAGGCAACGUCGUGAGCGUAACUUGCUUUACUCUGCGCCGGUACCACGGUAAAUUUUGUUAUUUUCACAGUAUUUUAAUUAAUUUUCAUACUGUCAAUAUUUAGUCGCGUAAUUUCCACGCAAUAGAUCGUGCAAACACAACUGUUGUUUGCUUCGUCGAUGAACCAAGUAUGAGGAAAGAAAGAGAGAGAGAAAAAAAAAAAGAAGUGAAAGAAGAAGAACUUGCUUGAACUUCAACUUGGUCUCUACACACUCGAAGAUAUACUCGAAGGACGUUGCUUUCUUUCGGCAUAUGAUUUAUUCCUUUUGGCGAGAAGACGAUAAUUUGCAUAUUUUAAAUAAUGCGUAUCGAGUUAUUUUUAAUAAAUUUUUAAACAAUAACGUAAUUAUAAUUUUAUUAUAAAUUUUGAGGUCGAUAUUUCUAACGUAUUUAUUAAUCACAAUUACAAUUUACAACCAAAUAUCUAUCAAUUAUUUCAGUUAAUUAUCCAAAGAAAUGACGGAGUCGUAAAAGUAAAAUAUUCAACAGUGCAUUACGAAACAAUAUUUCCGCGUAAUAAAACACGCCGUAUAAGAAGGAUUAUGUAUAUAUGUAAGUACAUUGUUGUAUGUAACCACUUAAUACAUUCAUAAAAUUCAGUUGCCAUUUUAUCACGAACCAUAUUCGAGUUGUUUGUUAUUCGUUUUUAUCGUAUUACACAUUGUUGCAUAAGCAUUGUUUAUUUUUUAAUAUAAUAAAGUAUUUAUCCUGCUUGUUAAUUUUUCAUUCUUCUAAUUCAUUCUGACUAAUAGGACUAAGAUUAGAUUAACGAAGAAUAAUUUUUUUAAAAUAAAAAAUAGUUUAUUACAAAUUCUAAUGCUAAUUUCGCUUUGAAUAUAUCUCGUUGAAAACAAGAUUAAAUUGCUCUUAACGUUUCCACCCAAACGUAACAGUCCUUCUAAAUUCUCGAUAACACGUCCCAACAAUGCCAACAAAUUCCACAGAAGACCUUUCCUCCUUUUAAAGGUUAACAAUUCACGUUUUACACAAGAGAAACAUGGCGCAUCCUUGCAAUACGAUAGAAUGAUCUUCGUUCCAUUCUCAACCCGAGUAUUCAUCCGAUCAAGAAACUCUCCGUCUCUCUGUAUUCGACAAAUACGAGAAACAUUGUGAAAACAUUUUAUUUUGAGACAUAUAAUUGCAUUCAUAUAAUUUAUAAUUAGAUUCAUCAUCAUUUGAAUUUUGUUUCAAGGCUACGUUUAUCUUUAACAACAAAUAUCCAAGUCACUAUACAGAUAUUUUCUAUUUUUCCUCGAUGAUUAUCAUUUUGAAAAUAGAUAAAUAAAUUUUUCCACUGGUAAUAGAAAUUUGAAGAAACAUUCGGCGAGGGCAAUACAGCUUUGGUCAUUUUUUUUUCAUGGUUAUACGUGGAAAACACGAUAAAAACUUUGUUGGAAAUUUGCUUUCGCAUACGCUUAAUAAACAGCCCAAAUUACUAUACUUAACGGCGUCCGAGGUUACAAGCUAUCACCGGAUCGAUUGACCGGCUAAAGUUGGAAACCCCUAUUGGUCGGAUAUUUAGGGUGUGUAACACAUUCGAUCAGAUUGAAAAUAUCUCUAUGGAAUUUCUCUUCCAUUCCAUUUUAAUUAGAUAAAAAAAAAAGAAGAAAAAAAUAUACAAUUCAAUUCACACUAGAACGUAGAACGAACACAGACGCUUAAAUUCUCUAAUAGAUAAAAAUGGUCACGAACGAAACGUGUCACGUUUUCCCAGAAGACGUUUGUCCGUGAAAAAGCAGCGAACUGCACGAAUUCGCUUUCACGGAUAUACACGCGAUCGUUGCAAAACCGAUCAAGGACCUCUGGCUGUGCGAACCGACCGGCCUUGAAUUAGUAGAUAUUCGAUGACUGACGAACAUAUCGUGCACGCGUAUCCGGAUUACUCGUGAUCGUGACACAGAAAUUCUGCUUCGAAACGAAAGCGGAAUCGCCCACAUGCCCGCCUCCUGUGUUUCUCACGGAUAUCGAAAGUGACGACCGCGUCUCGUCUCGACUCUUCCCCACGACUCGACACUUGUCGUUCGAGGUUACGCACUUUUUCGCUUUUCACCGUGACGCGGGGAAAAAUAUGCUCGUUAUAUUCAGAGCAGGGUAUGCUUCCAGGAAUCUUAAUGGCGGAUUUGAACGUUAAACACGGCGGGGCUGGUUCGUUAUGCACGGUUAUUUUCGGUCGUCUAUUAAAAUUUCCACCGGUCGUGCUCGCGUGGCGAAUAGAUUUCAGAGUGGGGGUUUGUUCUUUUCGUUAAGGAAAUUUUUCCCCGACUUCAGAUGGGCCAUGACAAAAAAUUAGCGAGCAAUUGAAUCGCUUCGAGAAAAUUUCUACAAAUUUUGCAACAGGCUUUAAUAAAAGUUCGAAACGAAGGAUUUAUUACGAUCAGACCUUUUUUUUUUCUUUUUUUUGUUAAUUACAUAGGAAAGUUCGCCAAGACCACGUCGCGUCACGAGUAUAAGCUGUUCCAAAUUUGUUCGACAUCGAAUGUUAAUAACAGGGACGUUUCUCUGGCCGAAUACGUCGAUUAACCUGCAUUUAAAAUUUCAACAUCGACAAGUUUGAUCCGUUGCCGGUAUUUCGCGCAGAAGCGACGUCGUUGCUCGCGUGAAAAAGAAACUGGGUUAAUUGAUGCGAGCUCGUGGCUCCCUGGCGGAGAGAAACAGCGAAUUCCACGAUCGAAAGUCACGAUUCCGCCAACCCUCUGGAACGUGGCUCGUGUCAACGGGGAAUCGCGUUUCACCUAAUCCUAAUUAAAAAUCGCCAUGUUUUUCCAACAAAUAUGUUUCCCCUCUUCCCCUCCCUUUUUUUGCAAUUUCUCCUUCUUGCCGCAAUCGACGCAUCGACGCACUUUACAUUGCAAAUAAGGAGACCGGUCACGGGAAUGAUUUUUCCUUCGUUCGUUGGGGGAAAAAAAAAAGAACGUUGGAGCAAACGUAUAGAAUGAAACGCGACAAAAACGCCUAUUAGUUGUUACGUGGCACGCGUUAUUAAAAUUCAGGGCAAUGCAUUAAUGAUGGUGUGAUAUAUAGAAUAAGAAAACAUUUCUCUGCGUCUAAUAUUGAUAUUAAAGUUAAUUGAUAUUAGUUUAACUUGGACUGGUCUCCAGCAAUAAAAAUUGUCAUGCAUCCAAGGAUCGCAACAGCUGACUAUGUUUCACAUUUUUGCCAGAUUCCAGAUUAAAUUUUCGCGCGGUUGCCUCAUGCGGCCACACUCGGUUGCGUACCGUUCAUCAUCCUCUGUCAGCCUACCACCUGUUUCCGUGCUUUAUUCAAGAAGCCAGUAGACCGAAAGGCGAUCGUCAAUCUGACCGGAAGAUUCAUCGGUACCGGAAGGGGCCCGUGAAACCCGGUGCAAUUAAUUAAGAUGGAAUUAUGCCGCCAUUACGUUCACGCCUGAAGAAGUAGAAAAGUUCGAAGGAACGAUCGAAAUCUACGAUCGUUUCGCCUUUCAUUGCAUGCACUUUCGAAACUCUCGAAUUUCCUUUUCGGCCCGACAUUCUCUUUUCAUUCGUGAAAUUUCUAUGAAAUUACAAUACGUAUGAAAAUCUUUGGAGAAAGAUUUCGAGAAAUGAUACGCGAGAGGAUGUGCUUAUAGGAAACUUAGACUCGAAAAUUUAAUAAACUCGCGCCUCUCCGCCGAAAAGAACUUCACUCGUCUCUAUAACUUACCUCCUUCAAAAGGCAAAGUUCGCUCAUUUCAUCCUCUUCUUAUCUUUCUACUCUCUCUAUUAUUCUCCUAUCUCCCCGAUAGAGGUUUAAUUAACGGCGGAUAAAGGAGAAAUGUUUGCACGAUCACUUCUUCUCGUCGAACCACCGAAACUGCCCACCUAAACCUUACGAAUUUCGAACUCGAGUAACGAAGAAGAGCGCUCGUAAAACGAAACGAUAGUGCGUGGGAUCGUUCCUUUUCCUUUGGAAUUCACGGCCUUACGGGGAGUUUACCUCUCCAUCGAAUUUCGUUGCCCGCCUCCCUCGGACUUUUCAUUAAAAUUUUACGACGUCGACCGAAGAACAACGCGAUAUUUCUGACAUAUUCCUCAGAAUUUCGUCUUUGUCGUCACGCGUCUGUGCAAAGGCCCAUUUAUAGGAUAAGUUGAUAUUCCAACGGGGUGGGGAUUUAAAUCAUGCCCGAUUAUGAAUUAUUAUUUUUCGUAUUAAAAUUUUAUUCGAUAACAGAGGAAAUUUUAUAUACGCACCAAUUUAGUUAUAUCAUCAAAUCUAUAAUUACGUCCUCUCUUAUUUGUGCAAUGGGAUCAAAGGGAAUAGAAUUGUUGUGGAAAAGAUUUUAAAAAUGGACGAGGAGAUUGGUUGCGCGGAAACGGAUAAUGCAAAUUGAUUUAAUUAAUAUUAAUAAAGCGACCGAACUUGGUUUCCUGCCGCGAACUACACAUUUCGCGUAUUAACGUGUUAUAGCGAAUCUUUUUUAAUAAAUUUCUGAGAAAACGAGGCGGAGCAAAUAACGAAGCGUAACGCAAAGAAUGAAAACGGAAUUAUACCGUGGCUUGGUAGUAUUUUCAAUUAAGAAAAUGGAAUGAUAACACGGUUACCAAAGUAUCUUGUGGAUACAUUAUCUCUGCAUGGGAAACCAGCAUUAGAGAGGAUGAAAAAAAUAUGGGAAUUUCCAUAAAUGCUACGGUACGAUACUCGUUACUGAAUUAACGAUAAUUUAACAACGCCGAUAAAUUUCGCAAAAUUACAGUGUAUCGUAGAAACCCAUUCAUUUAAUGGAGACAAUUUUCCUCUCUGUCUUCGUCGUGUUUUCAUUCGUCGCGAUUUUUUUAUCCGAAUCACGAAAAAAAAAACACAAAUAAAUCGAAUAUUACGAAUAUCGAUCGAGUAUUUUUUUUAUUAUCCUCGAUCCACCAAGAAAUCUUUAUCCGUUUUGAAAGAAAAUUCUUCCAAUGUAAAUAAAUAUAGAGUCGAUCUGAAAACGAUGGAAUAACUGAAGGGAAACUCGAUCAAUUUCCUAUUCGGAACUCGAGUUGAAUAAGCAAUUCAUAAAUCGCGAUAGAUCGAUCGCGAUAGAUCUCCACGGAUUCAGAGAGACAUCGAGGAACGCGGAGAAGCCAAUGAAUAAGCUUUAUCUCGAGUUAGACGUCUUCGAAUCGCGGCAACGAUAACAAAGUUAUCUGCCCUAGUUUACGAUGUUCUUCACGCAUGCGUGCUCCAAGAGUGCAGAACCAUCAUCAUCCCCUACGAGCAAUCCUUGAAAAGAACCAGUGAUUGGAACAGUUAUGCAUACAGAUUUUUAUCCAACGAUUCAUUUGCAUCUGACGAUCUUUAUAUCUCUUUACUCGAUCUUUCUUUUUUAGGAAAUUUUUUAAAUUUAACAGUUAUCUCGAAUUGAACGCGGUUGCUUUUAUACUUUUAUAAUUAAUAUUCAUCUCUGUGUGACGUUAUCUUAUGCCUCGCCACCGAGUAUCGCAACAUCGAGUACGUGAUUAAAUACUUGAGACUGUUCCGGAUAUCGAUCGGAAUGGGUUAACCGGUGAAACAGCCUGCAAAGCGGAACUCUUUCCCAGAGAGUGUCUGUCCCUUCCUGUAAUUAACCCCUCUUUGCCGGAACGUUAACUCGACAGACGAGUUCUCGAAUCGCAUCUCGUUCCUAUCGUUCACAGCUCGGAAAAAAAAUCGUCUUUUGUCUCGAUUUUUCUUAACUUCUCCCCAUUUUUUUUUUCAUCCCGUUAUCCCAGAUAAUUUUUCGCUCCUAAUGAUCGUCUCUCUCUCGGUCGACCGGAUUUGACUUGGUCCGUGAUCGAUGACGAGCCGAGGAAAUCGCGAUCGCACAAUAGGAUCGAGAUCCCAUUGUAUGCGUAAUCGACGAGCCGUGCAUCCUUCGAGAUGCACGUCGAUUUCGAGAUACGUUUCGCCGACACGUGAACGCCGAUCCGUAUCACGGCGUACAUCGUGUGAUUCAUGUAGAUCGGCGUUUCAGGAAUGUCGGCCGCGCGCAAUAAGUCGCUGUUUUAUUAAUUAUCCGAUCGAUUUUUUUUUUUAAAAGAAAAUUCCGUCCCGUUCGCGGAUGCGUGAUGAAAAAUAAAUUUCGAAACGAUCGAUUGCGAGAUCGAUUAAAAAUUGGAUUCUUAGUGAUUUGCCACUGAACUUUGAACUCUUGAAAUUUUCUUUUCAGAAUUUCGAUCGAAUAGCCACGAUUACAUCACUAUAUAAGUGUGACUUAUCGCGUUAUGUAGUUUACGUAAUGUUUAAUGCGCUUCAUUGAUCGAGUUAAUCGGGGUACGGGGAAUUAUUAUUUUCAUUUGAUCACUGCGCAUUUUAAGACGUUCUUUGUUAUCGCUUUAAUUAUAGAUGUAUAUAUAAUUUGUUAUAUAAUUUAUGGUAAAAUUCUUGAUAUCGUAAAACUGAAUUUCUUAAGUAUCAUCGCAUUUAUUCAAUCCGUGUUAUAGCGAUUUAUUCAUUUUUAAAACAAACAGGCGGAGGCUAUAAAACGAUGAUAUCACAGUAUCACGCGUGCUAGGAAAAAGUUAGAAAUAUUUCACAACACUGUCCACGCGUAUAUGUUGAACAAAUAUUAGAGAAUAUCGGAAAAUUCAGAAAUUACAUCUCUCGUACAGAACGAACGAUAUACGAACGAGAAAACAUAUUCCAACAUUCCAUAUGUGCAAGUUUGAUUAAAAUAGAAAUUUUUUCCUUCGUGUAAUUUAAUUGAUCGUAAUCCACGAAAAUAUUCUCGUGGAAUAAAAAGUGAAUCUGCGUUUUUAUUCUUAAUUAAAACAAAUAUUAAUCAUCAAUUUUAUUUCCGUAAUAUCUUCCGUAAUAUAUCAGUUGAUUUAUCGGGUAUUUUUAAAUCGUUGAAAAAUCUAUUCGCAAAACAAGCGAGUAAAACAAUUCUAAAUAAUAAAAUAAUAAAUAAUAAAAUAAAUUCGAAUGAUGGUAAAUUUAUAUCCUUUCCAUAAAAGCAAUCGAAAUGAAAUUUUUCGCGAAACUUAACUUCGCGAAAAUUAGACGUCUCUCCAAGCAUCGAAAUAAGAUUUCAUCGGGCGCCAUUUAUGAAAAGCAUGCAGCUCAUCUACGCCGCGAUUCACACGCGUGGAAUUUCAAUGGAAUCCGUUCACGAAGUGAUACCAUUACUGGAAUUACACUGAUCAGAAUAGGCAGAAAAGCUUCACUCUCUAUUGACGAUCUAAUAAACAAAUGUCUCUUUGAUUUUUUUUUCUCGUGUUCGCGAUAUUUCAAUUCAGAAAACGAACUUUCGAUUCCGAAUACAUUUUACAUUACCCUUAAUCCUACGAUAUAAUUCUCCACCGUCAUUUUAAAUAUUACGCAUAAUUUUGACUCGUUUCUGACCUUUAUCAGUCGACGCCUAUUAAUUUAACGCUUUUGAAACGAAUAUCAAAGAAGGCAGAAACACUGGUAUCUCACGUUUGUGUUCGUUCUUCAGAAUUUCCCUUCAGACAGGAUCUAAUUAAGCUAUUCACGAACCAUACAAAACUACCUUUUAGAAUCAGAACUACGUUUCCGCUAAUUAACUAACAUCGAUCGUACAGUUCCAUUCUCGAAUAGCCAAUUUCCAGGAAGCGAAAUCUAAUCCAAACUGGUCGUUAAAAUUCGUUGCAGUGACAAAAAGGAUAUCUCUCUAUUCGUCACUUCGUCCCUCCACGAGAGAGAGAGAAACAGCAUUUCGAUUCGAGACCUAUCACUGCCCAUUGUAAAUCGUGUGCGUUUUUCAUUCUCCGGCCCGUUUCAAGUCCACGGAUUCGAGCCCAUUGUUCGAGUCUACAGCAGUCGUGUAUCGAUCACCGAUUCACGAUAGUUUGGCGAAUCGAGAUCGGUGUCGAAAUCGGCGGGAAUGCCAGGAUUGAAAAUCGAGAAUGGAAUCCAUGGAAUUUGGACGGGAGAAAAGACCGUCUGUGAUGUUGGUUCCUUUUGUCGAGCGGAACGAGGCGAGUAGAAAGCGAGAUGCGGUUGCAACGUGGAAUGGGGCAGUAGAAUUCCGCGAGAAGUGGAAUUUAUCGAGUGUUAUGGAAACAAUCGAACGUUCGUUAGAUACCCUCCAAUCUCUGAUUUGUAUUAUAAGUAUAACCAGCUGAGUGUACUCUCUCGACCUCGUUAAUGCGAUAUCAAGAUAUCUUGAAAAUAUAAAAUACUUUCACAGAUA
Apis cerana (Asiatic honeybee) is the source of this 12265-nucleotide long non-coding RNA. RefSeq lists it as uncharacterized. NCBI's taxonomy places the organism in Eukaryota, Metazoa, Arthropoda, Insecta, Hymenoptera, Apidae. The record is from RefSeq and is a predicted model, not a curated record.